CCUACGGGAGGCAGCAGUGAGGAAUAUUGGUCAAUGGGCGGGAGCCUGAACCAGCCACGUCGCGUGCAGGAAGAAUGUCCUAUGGAUUGUAAACUGCUUUUGUAGGGGAAUAAUUGUAUCCACGUGUGGAUAUUUGCAUGUACCUUACGAAUAAGGAUCGGCUAACUCCGUGCCAGCAGCCGCGGUAAUACGGAGGAUCCGAGCGUUAUCCGGAUUUAUUGGGUUUAAAGGGUGCGUAGGCGGACUUAUAAGUCAGCGGUGAAAUUUUGCAGCUUAACUGCAAACGUGCCGUUGAAACUGUAGGUCUUGAGUGUAGAUAAGGUAGGCGGAAUGUGUUGUGUAGCGGUGAAAUGCAUAGAUAUGACACAGAACCCCGAUUGCGAAGGCAGCUUACCGGGUUACCACUGACGCUGAUGCACGAAAGCGUGGGGAUCAAACA
This 439-nucleotide ribosomal RNA is filed under the name uncultured Porphyromonadaceae bacterium. RNAcentral's name for it is "bacterial SSU rRNA". It matches the Rfam family "Bacterial small subunit ribosomal RNA", at positions 338 to 774 of the family's 1533-position model. The record is from RNAcentral. Lineage: Bacteria; Pseudomonadati; Bacteroidota; Bacteroidia; Bacteroidales; Porphyromonadaceae.